GCCUUCGUGGUCUAGUUGGUCAUGACGUCGGUCUCAUAUCCUUCAAACCUUUAAAGGUUUCUUAUGACAUUCUUGGUAACAAGAUUGACAUCCGAAGGUCUCCAGUUCGAACCUGGACGAGGGCA
This 125-nucleotide transfer RNA is filed under the name Penicillium coprophilum. It matches the Rfam family "tRNA". Rfam says of the family: Transfer RNA (tRNA) molecules are approximately 80 nucleotides in length. Their secondary structure includes four short double-helical elements and three loops (D, anti-codon, and T loops). The record is from Rfam by way of RNAcentral. Lineage: Eukaryota; Fungi; Ascomycota; Eurotiomycetes; Eurotiales; Aspergillaceae.